RNA transcript from Helianthus annuus (common sunflower), 1657 nucleotides. RefSeq lists it as uncharacterized. Lineage: Eukaryota; Viridiplantae; Streptophyta; Magnoliopsida; Asterales; Asteraceae. The transcript has 9 exons. The record is from RefSeq and is a predicted model, not a curated record.
CCUAUCCAUGAUCUCCUCAACUCAAUUGUCAACCGCCCAUUAAAUUCAAUAUUUUAUUCUUGAAGAGCAGUUGAAAGUCCCCAAUUUUUAAUUUAAAUCGUUUAAAUUCAACAUUUUAUUCUUGAAGAGCAGUUGAAGUUACUAGCACACAUUCUCUCCCCACCCACGUUUGCGGCCUAUAACCUCCCUGAUUUCUCUAAAUAAAAACCCUUAUCACCGCAAAAACUUGCUCGUCUGCCUCCUUUCCACUCUCCAGCCAUCCAUCUCUGUCUUCAUCUUAUCUCUGUAGUGCCGGUUCUCUCAUUUUUCAUCGAUUUAUAUGUUUUGCUUGUGUAUACAUCAUAGCUAUUGAUCGGUUUUGUGUUGAUUUGCAUAUCUAGGGUUUUUCUUAGUUCAGUGAUAUCAAUUAGCCAUUAAUCAUGUGACAGAGGCCUAGCGCAUGGAACGAGGUCCGGUGGAAACGUUACAAAGUGGUCGUCAUUCGUAAUCAUCAUUGGUAUAUAUGGAAGAUCAAUGGAACUUGAUUGUCGCUGGCUCCUCCACAUGAGGGUUUCUACAAAUGCAUCAGCGUUGGGCUUUGCCACUCGAUCUGCCGUUUUUGGUGGCUUUUUGUUAGCCCUAAUUCGAAGUCUGAUUCUUCUUAUGUGCAACCAGGCUCGAAGUCUGAUUCUUCUUCACCGUCGUCUUUGUUUGAUCCAUAUCAAAAACCGAGAGCUGGAAGUGAUUGUUAUCCAGACUGUCAAAGCUAGAAAUGGAUGUGAAAAUGAAGGAAAAAUUCAUUUUGGUGUUAGUUUUGAGAAGUUUGGUGGACCAGAACGAACACAAUUUCAUCCGGCCUACAUCACACAUGGCUAACUACACAAUGUUAAGAUUUGGCAGUGUUAUUAGAAAAUAGUUCAGGUAAUAUUCAGUCAUGGUACCGACACAUAACCCGCGGAGGGUGACCAUUUUCUACUCCAGAUAAUGGUUGGCCUGUAUCUAAUUGCACUGCAGAAGCUUUGAAAGACGGUGCUGAUGCUUUCACAAAUGCCGUAUGACAUGGUUGGAGAAGCAAUAGCACCAGAAUGUCUGUAUGAUGCUGUUCAUUUGCUUCUAAGACUUCAGAAUAACAAUGGAUGAUAUUCUUCCUAUGAGCUUAUGAGGUCCUACCCAUGAUGAUCAAUCCGGCUGAAACUUUCGGAGACAUCAUGAUUGAUUACCAGUAUGUGGCAUGCCUAUUAUGCUUUAUGUCAAUUUGUAUAUAUACGUAUUCGAUCAUGUUAACUAAUGUAAAACAGUGCAAAACUCUUACUAAACGGGAUCACUCUUCAGAGACCGGAUUAUGCAAGAUAAUUGAAAAACAUCAAAUGGCCGAAUUUACCAAUUGCUCUCUUCAAUGGGAUGUCAAAAUGAAGCAAUAUGCCAGAAAAAGAGGGAAAAAUAGAAUCCAGCAUAUUCAUUGUGGUUAAGAACACCCGGUUCAAAUUUUUUUGUAUACCGCGCUUAUAUUUUUGUGAGUUGUCAAAAUUGCCAAUUUUGAAACAUGGUUUUUGUUAAUUUUUGUUACAAAUCUUAGAGGCCAUUUUGAUUCUUAUUAAACAGUUGACCCAAGAUUACUAAUGUACACAUAAGUAUAAAUUUAGAUAAGAGGUAUAAUGACCUUUAUGGUUUUAUAAUA